RNAcentral lists this ribosomal RNA (1234 nucleotides) under metagenome. RNAcentral describes it as "bacterial LSU rRNA". It matches the Rfam family "Bacterial large subunit ribosomal RNA", at positions 1564 to 2808 of the family's 2925-position model. The record is from RNAcentral.
UGAAUACGAGACGCUAAGGCGUCGAAGUAGUGUAUGUCAUACUUCCAAGAAAAGCUUGCACUGUCAUAGAUAAAAAACGCCUGUACCAUAACCGACACAGGUGGGUAGGUAGAGUAUACUAAGGGGCGCGAGAUAACUCUCUCUAAGGAACUCGGCAAAAUAACUCCGUAACUUCGGGAGAAGGAGUGCCUUAUUAUUAAGGUUGCAAUAACAAGAUCCAAGCAACUGUUUAUCAAAAACACAGGUCUCCGCUAAGUCGUAAGACGAUGUAUGGGGGCUGACGCCUGCCCAGUGCCAGAAGGUUAAAUAAGCUGGUUAGCAUUUGCGAAGCUAGUAACUGAAGCCCUGGUGAACGGCGGCCGUAACCAUAACGAUCCUAAGGUAGCGAAAUUCCUUGUCGGGUAAGUUCCGACCCGCACGAAAGGCGUAAUGAUUUGGGUACUGUCUCGGAGAGGGGCUCGGUGAAAUAGACUUGUCUGUGAAGAUGCGGACUACCUGCACCAGGACAGAAAGACCCUAUGAAGCUUUACUGUAACUUGAAAUUGAAAUUGGACUUUAUUCGCGCAGUAUAGGUGGGAGGCGUUGAUUAUAAUCUUGCGGGAUUAUUGGAGCCAUUAGUGAGAUACCACUCUUGUAAUGUUAGAUUUCUAACUUUGAAUCAUUAUCUGGUCAAAGAACAGUUUCAGGCGGGCAGUUUGACUGGGGCGGUCGCCUCCUAAACGGUAACGGAGGCGUACAAAGGUUUCCUCUGAACGGUUAGAAAUCGUAUCUAGAGUGUAAAGGCAUAAGGAAGCUUGACUGUGAGACCUACAAGUCGAGCAGGGACGAAAGUCGGUCUUAGUGAUCUGACGGUACUGAGUGGAAAGGCCGUCACUCAACGGAUAAAGGUUACUCUAGGAUAACAGGCUGAUCUCCCCCAAGAGUUCACAUCGACGGGGAGGUUUGGCACCUUGAUGUCGGCUCAUCGCAUCCUGGGGCGGUAGUACGUCCCAAGGGUUGGGCUGUUCGCCCAUGAAAGCGGUACGCGAGCUGGGUUCAGAACGUCGUGAGACAGUUCGGUCCAUAUCCGGUGUAGGCGUUAGAAUAUUGAGAGGAGCCUUCUUUAGUACGAGAGGACCGAGAAGGACAUACCUCUGGUGUACCAGUUAUCGUGCCAACGGUAGACGCUGGGUAGCUAUGUAUGGAGUGGAUAACCGCUGAAAGCAUCUAAGUGGGAAGCCCACCUCAAGAUAAG